Molecule: unclassified non-coding RNA, 1233 nt
Filed under: Hevea brasiliensis (rubber tree)
Lineage: Eukaryota; Viridiplantae; Streptophyta; Magnoliopsida; Malpighiales; Euphorbiaceae
Source: RNAcentral
CUGUCAACUGCAACCAGAGACUUUACUUUCUGUAGGCAAUCAUGGGAGGCAAGCUGAAGAAGAGCGAAAACGAAGCCAUGGCUGAAUACGAAAACGACGUUGAGUUAGAUACCAGCGAUAAAAAGAGAGAUAAGAGGAAGAAGAAGAAUAAAGAGGGAGAGGAGAAGAGGGAGAUACUUCCAUCGAUGAUAAAGAACAAGGAGAAGAGAUCAGUCGUUCAUGCUAAGCUCAAGCACUUGAAGAAGGUUGAGAAGCGAAAGAAGCUCAAGGCUCGAGAUGCCUUGGAGGAGGCUCCUCGCCCAGGUCAGCCUCCUCCAAGGCAGAUUCCUCGCACCAUUGAGAACACCAGGGAGUUUGAUAAGACUAUAUGCAAGCCAGAUGACGAUGAGCUAUUUGCUGGUAAUGAUGCUGAUGAGUUUAGUUCAGUUCUAAGACGUGAACUAACUCCGAAGAUAUUGAUCACCACAUGCCGAUUCAAUUCUACUAGGGGACCCCUUUUUAUAUCAGAACUGCUUUCAGUGAUCCCAAAUGCAAUUUACAAGAAGAGAGGAACUUAUAAUUUGAAAGAUAUUGUAAAAUAUGCAAGCAACAUGGAAUUUACUGCUAUUAUUGAUGUUCAUACUAACCGCAGAGAACCAGAUGCUCUCCUGAUCAUUUGCUUGCCUUAUGGACCUACUGCACAUUUCAAGCUUUCCAAUCUUGUUUUACGCAAGGAUAUAAAGAAUCAUGGAAAUCCUACAAAUCACAAGCCUGAGCUGGUUUUGACUAACUUUACAACACGCUUAGGUCAUCGUGUUGGGAGACUAAUACAGUCACUUUUCCCUCAAGAUCCUAAUUUCCGUGGUCGGCGAGUUGUAACUUUUCACAAUCAACGGGAUUUUAUAUUCUUCCGCCAUCACCGGUACAUCUUUGAAACCAAAGAAUGCAAACAAAAUGAUUCAAAAGGCCAAAAGGGAAAAGAUGCCAAGGGGGAGAAGAUCUCUCAAGAAAAAGUAGUUGCUCGCCUUCAGGAAUGUGGUCCUCAAUUUACACUAAAGUUGAUAAGUCUACAGAAUGGAACCUUUGAUACCAAAAGUGGCGAAUACGAAUGGGUUCACAAGCCGGAAAUGGACACUAGCCGAAGGAGGUUUUUCCUCUGAGUUGCAUCAAAGAUCAUUCAAGUUUCCAUUUGUUGAAGAGGUACAAGCAAUUAUGGUUAAUUGGGUUGGUAGCCGAACCCAUGAUGUUUUGGAG